AUGCUUGAUCUCAAUGAGUUGCCUCCUGAUCUCAAUGAGCUUCCUCAUGAUAUGGAUGAGCAGCAACCCAGCAUACCACAAGGAAAUUGGACAGAAAAUGGGCGCUCUAUUUACUACACGCAGACAAGUCGUGGGCCUAACCCUAUGGGCCAUGACAAUGUGGUAGGGCAGUCAUCAACCCGUGGUGUCCUUGUAGUGGUGUCUUUGCAGUUAGAGAGCCGUACUCUUAAUGACACGGGCACCGCAGCAAAUGUUCCUGGUCCAACUAGGACUGAGCUCGGAGCUGGUGCUAUUGAUGGUGUUGUGCAAGGAGAAGAAGGAGAAGCUGGAGCUGGUGCUGUUCUCAGCCAAUGGAACCCUAUGUCGGCAUGA
RNAcentral lists this ribosomal RNA (372 nucleotides) under Triticum aestivum (bread wheat). RNAcentral describes it as "partial small subunit ribosomal RNA". Lineage: Eukaryota; Viridiplantae; Streptophyta; Magnoliopsida; Poales; Poaceae. The record is from RNAcentral.